GGAACAGACCCCCACCCUAAUUAAAUUCAUCUCUCAAACCCUUCUGCUCUCCUCACUAUUCUGCCACCGCCGGAAAUCGCUCACGGCGGCGGCCAACCACCAAACGAUCCCAAAUUAUCACCCUACAAUCCCCAACCCCUCCUCGGUCUGAAUCUACUACCCGUUUCCCUCAAAUCCUUCUACAUCACCUCGAAUUAUAGAUCUAAUAUUCCAGAAAAACCUAGUUUAACCCCCUUUCUGAUUUCUUCGUUAAAUUUAAUUCGUUUUGAUUCGAAGCUUGCAUUGAUCGAUUGCUCUUGACGAGAGAAAUACAUUAAUGUUAGUUUUUGCUCAUUUCAAAGUCGCCGGAGUCCAUCCAAGUUGCCGCUGACUGUGCCGAGGUGCCUUUCUUCCUUUUGCGCUGUUUCUCUGGCCGGCGAUGAGGUCUCCGAUUGAUAUGGCGGUCGUUCAUGGAUCUGGCCAUUAAUUGGUGAAUUUUUGUAGACCUCAAAGCCAAAAUAUUUUAUUAGAUGUGUUUGGAGCCACUGUAAAUCGUUUUGCUCAAAUAGAAGUAUAAAUUUUCAUGUUGGGACUGUAAUAUAAAUUUUGGACAUGAGUGUAUUGUAUUAUGUAACGUAGUUAAAGUAGAUGUUAAAAUCUGCUCAAUUCAGGAUGUGAACACAAGCAUAAAUGUAAGGAUGAUUAUUGUAGUUGAUUUUAUUAUGUUUGGAAUUAGAGUUAAUUUCUUUCAA
Nicotiana attenuata is the source of this 731-nucleotide long non-coding RNA. RefSeq lists it as uncharacterized. The transcript has 2 exons. Lineage: Eukaryota; Viridiplantae; Streptophyta; Magnoliopsida; Solanales; Solanaceae. The record is from RefSeq and is a predicted model, not a curated record.